Molecule: non-coding RNA, 29 nt
Filed under: Rattus norvegicus (Norway rat)
Lineage: Eukaryota; Metazoa; Chordata; Mammalia; Rodentia; Muridae
Source: RNAcentral
UGGCAUUGAGUGUUCUUAGCUGCAGAGGU